AUUUAAUGAUGCAUAAUAAAAUAUGAAUGAAUGAGAUAUAAUACAACAUAGUAAUCUUUACAACACAUAGUAAUCUUUACAAGGUCAUUUUGUACAGUGGAACCUGUCAAUAGAAAAUUUAUUGAAGACUAAGGAAGGCUAUCUUUUUUAAUACUUUUAGUCAUUAUCAACAUGGAUGGUAUACCAAAUCAUUCAGAAUUUUCAAUUCUGUUUCAUUUUGAUGUUCC
Molecule: long non-coding RNA, 227 nt
Filed under: Mytilus galloprovincialis (Mediterranean mussel)
Lineage: Eukaryota; Metazoa; Mollusca; Bivalvia; Mytilida; Mytilidae
Source: RNAcentral